Molecule: ribosomal RNA, 439 nt
Filed under: uncultured bacterium
Lineage: Bacteria
Description: partial 16S ribosomal RNA
Rfam family: Bacterial small subunit ribosomal RNA
Source: RNAcentral
CUACGGGGCGCUGCAGUGAGGAAUAUUGCACAAUGGAGGAAACUCUGAUGCAGCAACGCCGCGUGGAGGAUGACGCAUUUCGGUGUGUAAACUCCUUUUAUAUGUCAAGAAAAUGACGGUAGCAUAUGAAUAAGCUCCGGCUAACUCCGUGCCAGCAGCCGCGGUAAUACGGAGGGAGCAAGCGUUACUCGGAAUCACUGGGCGUAAAGGACGCGUAGGCGGGAUAGAAAGUCAGGUGUGAAAUCCUAUGGCUCAACCAUAGAACUGCACUUGAAACUUCUAACCUAGAGGAUGGGAGGGGAAGAUGGAAUUAGUGGUGUAGGGGUAAAAUCCGUAGAUAUCACUAGGAAUACCAAAAGCGAAGGCGAUCUUCUGGAACAAUACUGACGCUAAGGCGUGAAAGCGUGGGGAGCAAACAGGAUUAGAUACCCUAGUAGUC